Molecule: transfer RNA, 63 nt
Filed under: Vagitanus terminalis
Lineage: Eukaryota; Metazoa; Arthropoda; Insecta; Hemiptera; Cicadidae
Description: tRNA-Arg
Source: RNAcentral
AAGUAAUGAAGUAAUAUUACACUUAGUUUCGACCUAAUUUCAGAAUUAAUAAUUCCUUACUUG